CUGUCUCCUUUUUCUAUCAGUGAAACUAAUCUCCCCGUGAAGAAGCGGGGAUACUAAUAUAAGACGAGAAGACCCCAUGGAGCUUCAAACCCAACUACACCCCCAACCCCUAUAACUACUAAAUCCUUGAGGCCCUGUAUCGUUGGUUUUAGGUUGGGGCGACCACGGAGUACAACAAAACCUCCACAAUGAACGGAAUUAAUUCCUAAUCUAAGAACUACAUCUCUAAGAAUUAAAAUACUAACAUAAAAUGAUCCAUUUUUUGAUUAAUGAACCAAGUUACCCUGGGGAUAACAGCGCAAUCCAUUUCAAGAGCCCCUAUCGACAAAUGGG
This 333-nucleotide ribosomal RNA is filed under the name Mantidactylus betsileanus. Its description in RNAcentral is "partial 16S ribosomal RNA". It matches the Rfam family "Bacterial large subunit ribosomal RNA", at positions 2016 to 2516 of the family's 2925-position model. The record is from RNAcentral. Lineage: Eukaryota; Metazoa; Chordata; Amphibia; Anura; Mantellidae.